CGUCAUAAACAACAAACGCGUGGAGCCAUAUUGGAAAAGAAAUAUAUUUUAAAACGAAUCCAAUCGCAUCGUUAAUUGUCAAGCGUAGAUUUAAAAUAGAUGAUCAUGGGGAGAAGCAAAGGCAUCUAUUCACUUAACAGAUCUUCCACAAUUAAUCACCGAGUAUGAAAAUGUCCCAGAAGACAAAUUAAUUCACAUUAAAUUUGAUUGACGGUUUACAUAAUGAUUUGUAGGUGGCCCUCACCGUCUACAUAUUCUAAGCUAUAGAAUAAAGAAUAGGUUGGGAUUAAUUUUGAUGCCGAGAGGGUCUUAUAUCAUGAAACGACGGGGAACACGUCAUCUGGUGUGUGGAUGGCCCGGAAGUGCAUCAUAUAUGACACACCUGAGGACAUCAGACAUCUGACCUGCACGAGAGGUCCAUUAUCAGCUGGUAGAGGGUCUUUCACACGACAGAGGGAUCCUUUCUGCUCCCUUUAAGAACAAUUUGGACAAUGGUCGUUUGUUAAAAUGUUAUUAAGGACCAGAUACAUUAAUGACGCAGGCAGCAGCCGAAGCGGAGAGAGCCAACAUCUGGUAUGAAAUGACGUUUAGCAAAGUUAGUGGAAAAAUGGGCAAAGAUCACGUUAUCCGAUCACGUGACCGUUCUCAGGUACUUUUCUAAGUUUCACAAAGCCAGUAGAUUACUUUUUUUUUAUCUUCUUCUUCUCUAAAACUCUCGAUACACAAUACACUCGAUCAAUGUCCGAAAUUCUUUAAAAUAUACACAGUUUUUUCCUCAUCCGAUCCCGGAUUAAUGGAGAGAGAUGCCUCGAUGUUCUCGGGUUUUCUGCCCACAAAACACAAUUUUGGUGGUGCCCGAUUGGGUUUUUUUUUUCUCCUCCCUCCCCAUUCACGUCAGACGUUGCAGAGGUAGGAAAAUCUGGCUCUAGUCGACUGAGUCACGGUCUUAAAUGAUUCAUAAGGCUGUAGAAUGGUUACGAUUGCUUUCUUUCGCGAUUAGCAUACUUCACGGCAUCCGAUUAGAUAUGAAUUUACACCUCCACGCUAGAUAAAACUGCAAUUAAACUAAAUUCGCGAGUAGUAAUUAGUUAUGCGCGUGUCCGACUUAAAAAAAUGCGCUUCGUCUUUUUUUUUUUUUGUUUUUUUAACCUUUAUACAAUUAUUUCGCCCGGGGAGACGGUUAAUGAAGUGCAGAGUAUUUCUCCUUUUUUGCUUAGUUUAUUGCCAGGUUAUCCGGGCUUGUUUAUGAGUUGACGCAACUCAACAUCAUCAAUGCAAACGGGAGAUGUGCAACAAUAAACUUUGUCCUUAUCUCGGUAAGUAUCGGACACCUGCUAGCAUGGGCACGUCAACACACCUUGGUGGAGAGAACAUCUUCAUUUUAAAGAGAAACCAAGGCCGACCCUAGACUCCGCGAUUACAAUCGUGAUGGAUAAAUCAUAGUGGGCCUUAAGUCCGAUUUAAUCCUCCGAAUUUCUUUUUUUUUUUUUUUUUUUCCUUUUCCUAACCGCGUCAGAAAUUCUUACAAUUUAAUUUA
This is a long non-coding RNA of Centruroides sculpturatus (bark scorpion), 1537 nucleotides long. RefSeq lists it as uncharacterized. The transcript is spliced from 4 exons. The record is from RefSeq and is a predicted model, not a curated record. Lineage: Eukaryota; Metazoa; Arthropoda; Arachnida; Scorpiones; Buthidae.